AUGUCAAUCGUCCCAAUCAACGAGCAACGAGGCAGUGACUUCGACCCUUCCUUGGAUCUUGACCUGUGGGACCCAUUCACAGAUUUCCCUUUCCCAUUCCCUUCCUCAAUCUCCAACGUUUUCCGGGAAUUCAAUCUGGGUUCUUCGGUAAACUCAAGACUAGAUUGGAGAGAGACCCGAAAUGCCCACAUCCUAAAGGCGGCUCUUCCUGCGUUCAUGAACGAGGACGUGCUUGUGGAGCUUCAAGACGAGCGUGUGCUUCAGAUCAGUACAGACAGCGGUAGCUUCAUGACAAAGUUUAAGCUUCCGGACAACGCCAAGAUUGAGCAGCUUAAGGCCUUCAUGAGCAAUGGGGUUCUCACUGUCACUGUUCCUAAGGAGGAGCCCAGCAGACCCAAUAUCAGAGCCAUUGAAAUUUCUGGCGAAGAUUAA
Molecule: long non-coding RNA, 432 nt
Filed under: Prunus dulcis (almond)
Lineage: Eukaryota; Viridiplantae; Streptophyta; Magnoliopsida; Rosales; Rosaceae
Description: sRNA ncRNA
Source: RNAcentral